Long non-coding RNA from Ctenopharyngodon idella (grass carp), 1421 nucleotides. RefSeq lists it as uncharacterized. The transcript is spliced from 5 exons. The record is from RefSeq and is a predicted model, not a curated record. NCBI's taxonomy places the organism in Eukaryota, Metazoa, Chordata, Actinopteri, Cypriniformes, Xenocyprididae.
AAGAGCAUUUCCUGUGUGAGGCUGCUGGUAGGAAAUGUGAGAAUAGGCCACCACAAUGCGGCAUAACAAACAGACUCGCGCUGCAGCUGCAAGGCUUAUCAACUAGUCGAUAUCAGAGGUAUGCCAUCUUGAAUUCAGCAGAUGAGUGGAUAACAAUGGGUUCCAAUCUUUCCUCUAAUAGUACAGGUCCUGCGCAGUCUCACAGUUGGUCGAAACUAGCCAGCAUUUCAACAGUGGUCGUGUUGACUGUGCUUUGGUGUUUUGUUUUUCUUCUGGUAUUCAUUAUCUGCUUAUUUUUAUUGAAAACUCGAGAUGAGGUCGCAAACGCAGAUGUCUCUUUAAAUGAGGUCUCUGAAAAGACGAAGAAAAGACAAAAUCAUAAAAGUUACAAAGAGAGGGUAAACUCAGUUUACUAUGAGUGGUUUAGGGAUUCCUCACCGCCGAAGAAACCCAUUAAUUUAGAGACAUACGAAAUGGUAGAUAUGUCUUAAUGCAGUUAUAAGUGCAAGCACUAGCAAAAGACUUUUUUUUUCUAACAUGCAAUGCAGACAAUUAUUAUAAAAUCUGCUGAAAUAAAAAUCAGUAUUGUUUUGUUUUCACUUGUCAUGAUAAUCCAGCAGAAGGCGCUGUUGCAUUAAAUCAGUAAUGGAUGCAGUUACAUAUAUGUAUAUAUAUAUAUAUAUAUAUAUAUAUAUAUAUAUAUAUAUAUAAUUUUAUAAAUAUAUAAAAGGUUCACCCCAAAAAUGAUGAUUCUGUCAUCAUUUACUCCAUGUCGUUCCAAACCUAUUUGACUUUUUCUUCUGUGGAACAUAAAAGAAGAUAUUUUGAGAAAUGUCUGUUUUUUUGUCCAUACAAUGGAAGUCAAUAGUCACCUAAAAUGUUUGGUUACCAACAUUAAAUAUCUUCAUUUGUGUUUCAGAGAGAAAAGAAAGUCAUACAUGUAUAGAACAGCAUGAUUACUGGACAGAUUGAAGAAGUUUGUGUAUAUUCAAAUAUACAUUUCUUCCACAAUUAUAAGACCUCUAGCAGAAAGUUACAUUUUUUAUUAUAAAGGCAAAACAUUUGCAUAAUUAAGCAUGAUUAGCAUAAUAUAGGAAUUUUUAAUCCUUAAAAUAACACUCCACUUUUUUUGAAAAUAGGCUCAUUUUCCAACUCCAGUAGAGUUAAACAGUUGAAUUUUACCGUUUUCGAAUCCAUUCAGCCGAUCUCUGGGUCUGGCGGUACCACUUUUAGCAUAGCUUAGCAUAGUUCUUUGAAUCUGAUUAGACCGUUAGCAUCUCGUUAAAAUCACAACUUUUCAUUUUCCGUCGGUCUUAGUACACGAUGUAACUACAGAAGAGUCAAGUUUUAAAUAGGAAAAAUAUUGAAACUCUUUGGUCAUUUUUUAACGAGAUGCUAACGGUCUAAUCAGAUUCAAUGAA